Molecule: long non-coding RNA, 823 nt
Organism: Lolium rigidum
Lineage: Eukaryota; Viridiplantae; Streptophyta; Magnoliopsida; Poales; Poaceae
Exons: 2
Source: RefSeq, a predicted model, not a curated record
GCAUAUUUAAAAUUUCGUUGAAGAGCCAUUUUGGUGCCAAACUCUUACGCGAGUUUGGAAUUGUUUUUAUUAUGUCAAAGUAGAAGUGUACUGAUUCUUUAUUUUGUUGGAAUCAUUGAAGAGGCAUUGUUUUUAUUUCGUUGUGAGGACAUCUCCAUUGCCAUCUGUGGUAACAAGGUUGAUGUAAAGAACAUGCAGCUUAAAGCCAAGCAGGUCACAUUCCACAGUAAGAAGAGCUCGCAGUACUAUGUAGCCUCUGCCAAGAGCAACCACAACUCUGAGAAGCCUUCCUUUUACCUUGCAAGGAAGUUAGCUAGGAGUCGUCUCCCUCCCUAUUAGAUUCUUUUGCAUAUUAAAUCUUACUUUUAUUUGAUGAUUCUUAGUAAGCCAUGGCUCUCAAGCCCUGGGCCGGAAGUGAUCUUCAACCUAUGUAAGCAAGAACAGUAUGUGACGUCCUAUUUUUUCUUCCAUUCGACUUCUUUUUACCGCAUUUGUUCUGUAGAUGCUCCUGUUAUGAGUGAAUGAAUGGAUCGUAGAUUGUUGUUUGUACAAUGUUUGCAGACACGAGGAUGUGCCUGCUGCCGUUGCCACUGCAUGUUGAUGACAAUAUAAUGAGUCUUAUACCAUACUUAUAUUGUUGUUUGUACAAUGUUUGCAGACACGGGGAUGUGCCUGCUGCCGUUGCCACUGCCUGUUGAAGAUGACAAUAUAAUGAGUCUUACCAUACUUUGACUUUGAGAGACAGAGACUGUUCUUUGUACAAGAGUCAGUUCGCUUUUAGAUUGAAAGGCUUGAUAGCCAGGAGAGAAUGUUUUCCUUUGUU